RNAcentral lists this ribosomal RNA (429 nucleotides) under Chloroflexota bacterium. RNAcentral's name for it is "Chloroflexi bacterium partial 16S ribosomal RNA". It matches the Rfam family "Bacterial small subunit ribosomal RNA", at positions 355 to 776 of the family's 1533-position model. Lineage: Bacteria; Bacillati; Chloroflexota. The record is from RNAcentral.
UGGGGAAUAUUGCACAAUGGGCGCAAGCCUGAUGCAGCCAUGCCGCGUGUAUGAAGAAGGCCUUCGGGUUGUAAAGUACUUUCAGUCGGGAGGAAGGUGGUAAGGUUAAUAACCUUAUCAAUUGACGUUACCGACAGAAGAAGCACCGGCUAACUCCGUGCCAGCAGCCGCGGUAAUACGGAGGGUGCAAGCGUUAAUCGGAAUUACUGGGCGUAAAGCGCACGCAGGCGGUUUGUUAAGUCAGAUGUGAAAUCCCCGGGCUCAACCUGGGAACUGCAUCUGAUACUGGCAAGCUUGAGUCUCGUAGAGGGGGGUAGAAUUCCAGGUGUAGCGGUGAAAUGCGUAGAGAUCUGGAAGAAUACCGGUGGCGAAGGCGGCCCCCUGGACGAAGACUGACGCUCAGGUGCGAAAGCGUGGGGAGCAAACAGG